Long non-coding RNA from Drosophila mojavensis, 293 nucleotides. RefSeq lists it as uncharacterized. The transcript is spliced from 2 exons. Lineage: Eukaryota; Metazoa; Arthropoda; Insecta; Diptera; Drosophilidae. The record is from RefSeq and is a predicted model, not a curated record.
GCAGCAAGAGUUAGAGAUGUGAAAAAACAACGAUGCAUCGACAAUCGAUGUUUUUGGCGAUGUUUUCCGAUGUUUUCCGAUGUUUUUAUUGAUACCGAUGUUAAGCGAUGCAUCGAUGUUUGACAGAACAUCGGGCGUUAAAUUUCACAACAUUGCAGAACAUAUGGAUACACUGCCACAUAGAAAAAUUCGCGAAUUUGUUUUAUUUUUUUACCCUGUGUUUGCAAUGCCAAAAAUAACAACAAAGACAAGCUUUUGCUGGAGGCACUUUACAAAAAUUGAUGGAAAUAGCG